This 343-nucleotide unclassified non-coding RNA is filed under the name rhizosphere metagenome. Its description in RNAcentral is "partial ribosomal RNA internal transcribed spacer region". The record is from RNAcentral.
GUAGGUGAACCUGCGGAAGGAUCAUUAAAAACUAAAAACCUCUAAUUUUGAAUCAAAACAAAAAAUUCAAAUUAUUACUAUAAACCCCCCAUCAGUGUCUCUUUUAUAAACAAAAACAAAAUAACUUCUAUCUGAGAAUUAUAGCAUGUCCAGCCGAAUCUCGACUGGGUGUGUUUAGUUUUCAGAAAGAUUUAUAUAACUCUAUACCCCCAAUCAAAUCUCUAUUAAAUGAGGUUUGCUUGAAAACAAAAAAAACAAAACAAAAAACAAAAAAUAGUUGAUACACAACUAAAAAAAACAAAAAAUCGUAGCACAACUUAUAACGAUGGAUGACUAGGUUCUC